This 74-nucleotide transfer RNA is filed under the name Hoya lithophytica. RNAcentral's name for it is "tRNA-Met". The record is from RNAcentral. Lineage: Eukaryota; Viridiplantae; Streptophyta; Magnoliopsida; Gentianales; Apocynaceae.
AGCGGGGUAGAGGAAUUGGUCGACUCAUCAGGCUCACCGGUGGAGGAUAAGACUAAAUUCUCAAUUUGACCCAU